RNAcentral lists this non-coding RNA (84 nucleotides) under Microbacterium esteraromaticum. RNAcentral's name for it is "ZTP sequence". It matches the Rfam family "ZMP/ZTP riboswitch aptamer (pfl RNA motif)". From Rfam's summary of the family: Previously known as pfl RNA. Lineage: Bacteria; Bacillati; Actinomycetota; Actinomycetes; Micrococcales; Microbacteriaceae. The record is from Rfam by way of RNAcentral.
UUUCAACGUCGCGACUGGCGUCUGGGUGGGUCACCACCGGGGAGCGGCCUCAUAUGGAAUCGACCGCGCGCCUGGGCCGAUGAG